GAUGAACGCUGGCGGCGUGCCUAAUACAUGCAAGUAGAACGCUGAAGCUUGGUGCUUGCACCGAGCGGAUGAGUUGCGAACGGGUGAGUAACGCGUAGGUAACCUGCCUCUUAGCGGGGGAUAACUAUUGGAAACGAUAGCUAAUACCGCAUAAAAGUCGAUAUCGCAUGAUAUUGAUUUGAAAGGUGCAAAUGCAUCACUAAGAGAUGGACCUGCGUUGUAUUAGCUAGUUGGUGAGGUAACGGCUCACCAAGGCGACGACACAUAGCCGACCUGAGAGGGUGAUCGGCCACACUGGGACUGAGACACGGCCCAGACUCCUACGGGAGGCAGCAGUAGGGAAUCUUCGGCAAUGGGGGCAACCCUGACCGAGCAACGCCGCGUGAGUGAAGAAGGUUUUCGGAUCGUAAAGCUCUGUUGUAAGAGAAGAACGAGUGUGAGAGUGGAAAGUUCACACUGUGACGGUAACUUACCAGAAAGGGACGGCUAACUACGUG
This 497-nucleotide ribosomal RNA is filed under the name uncultured bacterium. RNAcentral's name for it is "partial 16S ribosomal RNA". It matches the Rfam family "Bacterial small subunit ribosomal RNA", at positions 28 to 507 of the family's 1533-position model. The record is from RNAcentral.